AACGAACGCUGGCGGCAGGCCUAACACAUGCAAGUCGAGCGAGGACUUCGGUCCUAGCGGCGGACGGGUGAGUAACGCGUGGGAACGUGCCCUUUGCUUCGGAAUAGCCCUGGGAAACUGGGAGUAAUACCGGAUGAGCCCUUUGGGGGAAAGAUUUAUCGGCGAAGGAUCGGCCCGCGUUGGAUUAGGUAGUUGGUGGGGUAAUGGCCUACCAAGCCGACGAUCCAUAGCUGGUUUGAGAGGAUGAUCAGCCACACUGGGACUGAGACACGGCCCAGACUCCUACGGGAGGCAGCAGUGGGGAAUCUUAGACAAUGGGGGAAACCCUGAUCUAGCCAUGCCGCGUGAGCGAUGAAGGCCUUAGGGUUGUAAAGCUCUUUCAGCUGGGAAGAUAAUGACGGUACCAGCAGAAGAAGCCCCGGUUAACUCCGUG
This 433-nucleotide ribosomal RNA is filed under the name uncultured bacterium. Its description in RNAcentral is "partial 16S ribosomal RNA". It matches the Rfam family "Bacterial small subunit ribosomal RNA", at positions 29 to 507 of the family's 1533-position model. The record is from RNAcentral.